RNAcentral lists this ribosomal RNA (684 nucleotides) under uncultured bacterium. Its description in RNAcentral is "bacterial SSU rRNA". It matches the Rfam family "Bacterial small subunit ribosomal RNA", at positions 1 to 694 of the family's 1533-position model. The record is from RNAcentral.
UCUCUCGCACUCCACUACGAAAAGAUCCUGGCUCAGGACUUAUCUCGCCGGCGUGCCUAACACAUGCAAGUCGCACGGGACCAGCAAUGGUUCAGUGGCGGACGGGUGCGUAACACGUGAGGAACAUGCCUAUCGGCGGGGGAUAGCCGGCCCAACGGCCGGGUAAUACCGCGUACGCUCACUGGGGGGCAUCCCCUGGUGAGGAAAGCAGCAAUGCACCGAUAGAGUGCCUCGCGGCCUAUCAGCUAGUUGGUGAGGUAAUGGCUCACCAAGGCACGACGGGUAGCUGGUCUGAGAGGAUGAUCAGCCACAUUGGGACUGAGACACGGCCCAGACUCCUACGGGAGGCAGCAGUGGGGAAUCUUGCGCAAUGGCCGAAAGGCUGACGCAGCGACGCCGCGUGUGGGAUGACGGCCCUUCGGGUUGUAAACCACUGUCGGAAGGGACGAAUGGUCUCUCUAUGGCAGUGACGGUACCUUCAAAGGAAGCACCGGCUAACUCCGUGCCAGCAGCCGCGGUAUACGGAGGGUGCCGAGCGUUGUCCUGAAUCACUGGGCGUAAGGGCGCGUAGGCGCCCGGUAAGUAGGGGGUGGAAUCUGCGGCUUAACCGCAAGGCUGCCUUCUAACUUGCAAGCUUGGGACAAGUAAGGCAGUGGAAAUCCCGGGUGAACCCGUGAUGCUAAA